GACGGGGGCCCGCACAAGCGGUGGAGCAUGUGGUUUAAUUCGAUGCAACGCGAAGAACCUUACCUGGUCUUGACAUCCACAGAACUUUCCAGAGAUGGAUUGGUGCCUUCGGGAACUGUGAGACAGGUGCUGCAUGGCUGUCGUCAGCUCGUGUUGUGAAAUGUUGGGUUAAGUCCCGCAACGAGCGCAACCGUUAUCUUUUGUAACCAGCGGUCCGGCCGGGAACUCAAAGGAGACUGCCAGUGAUAAACUGGAGGAAGGUGGGGAUGACGUCAAGUCAUCAUGGCCCUUACGACCAGGGCUACACACGUGCUACAAUGGCGCAUACAAAGAGAAGCGACCUCGCGAGAGCAAGCGGACCUCAUAAAGUGCGUCGUAGUCCGGAUUGGAGUCUGCAACUCGACUCCAUGAAGUCGGAAUCGCUAGUAAUCGUGGAUCAGAAUGCCACGGUGAAUACGUUCCCGGGCCUUGUACACACCGCCCGUCACACCAUGGGAGUGGGUUGCAAAAGAAGUAGGUAGCUUAACCUUCGGGAGGGCGCUUACCACUUUGUGAUUCAUGACUGGGGUGAAGUCGUAACAAGGUAACC
Molecule: ribosomal RNA, 589 nt
Filed under: uncultured Salmonella sp.
Lineage: Bacteria; Pseudomonadati; Pseudomonadota; Gammaproteobacteria; Enterobacterales; Enterobacteriaceae
Description: bacterial SSU rRNA
Rfam family: Bacterial small subunit ribosomal RNA
Source: RNAcentral